This 403-nucleotide ribosomal RNA is filed under the name uncultured bacterium. RNAcentral describes it as "partial 16S ribosomal RNA". It matches the Rfam family "Bacterial small subunit ribosomal RNA", at positions 28 to 526 of the family's 1533-position model. The record is from RNAcentral.
GACGAACGCUGGCGGCGUGCCUAAUACAUGCAAGUCGAACGCAGUGGUGACUGGUGAGUAACACGUGGGUAACCUCCCCUCAGUGGGGAUAACACUUGGAAACAUGUGUUAUACCGAUACAGCUGGAUGGUCCCGGGGUGCAUUAGCUAGUUGGUGAGGUAACGGUUCACCAAGGCCACGAUGCAUAGCUGGCCUGAGAGGGGGAUCGGCCACACUGGAACUGAGACACGGCCCAGACUCCUACGGGAGGCAGCAGUAGGGAAUCUUGGGCAAUGGGCGAAAGUCUGACCGAGCAACGCCGCGUGAGUGAAGAAGGUUUGCGGGUCGUAAAGCUCGGUUGGUGGAGAGGCGGUAUCUAACCAGAAAGCAACGGCUAACUACGUGCCAGCAGCCGCGGUAAUUC